Molecule: ribosomal RNA, 477 nt
Filed under: uncultured bacterium
Lineage: Bacteria
Description: partial 16S ribosomal RNA
Rfam family: Bacterial small subunit ribosomal RNA
Source: RNAcentral
GAUGAACGCUGGCGGCGUACCUAACACAUGCAAGUCGAACGAAGCACCUUACCUGAUUCUUCGGAUGAAAGUUUGGUGACUGAGUGGCGGACGGGUGAGUAACGCGUGGGUAACCUGCCCUGUACAGGGGGAUAACAGCUGGAAACGGCUGCUAAUACCGCAUAAGCGCACGAGGAGACAUCUCCUUGUGUGAAAAACUCCGGUGGUACAGGAUGGGCCCGCGUCUGAUUAGCUGGUUGGCAGGGUAACGGCCUACCAAGGCAACGAUCAGUAGCCGGUCUGAGAGGAUGAACGGCCACAUUGGAACUGAGACACGGUCCAAACUCCUACGGGAAGCAGCAGUGGGGAAUAUUGCACAAUGGGGGAAACCCUGAUGCAGCAACGCCGCGUGAGUGAAGAAGUAUUUCGGUAUGUAAAGCUCUAUCAGCAGGGAAGAUAAUGACGGUACCUGACUAAGAAGCUCCGGCUAAAUACGUG